Molecule: ribosomal RNA, 618 nt
Filed under: Hepatozoon sp.
Lineage: Eukaryota; Apicomplexa; Hepatozoidae
Description: SSU rRNA
Rfam family: Eukaryotic small subunit ribosomal RNA
Source: RNAcentral
UCAGCUUUCGACGGUAUGGUAUUGGCUUACCGUGGCAGUGACGGUUAACGGGGGAUUAGGGUUCGAUUCCGGAGAGGGAGCCUGAGAAACGGCUACCACAUCUAAGGAAGGCAGCAGGCGCGCAAAUUACCCAAUUCUAACAGUUUGAGAGAGGUAGUAACAAGAAAUAACAAUACAAGGCAGUUAAAAUGCUUUGUAAUUGGAAUGAUAGAAAUUUAAACCCUUUUUAAAGUAUCAAUUGGAGGGCAAGUCUGGUGCCAGCAGCCGCGGUAAUUCCAGCUCCAAUAGCGUAUAUUAAAAUUGUUGCAGUUAAAAAGCUCGUAGUUGAAGUUCUGCUGAAAGUAACCGGUCUGCUUUUAAUAAAAGUGGUAUCUUGGUAUGUAUUUAGCAAUGAUGUCCUUUGAAGUGUUUUUUACUUUAUUGUAAUAAAGCAUAUUCAGGACUUUUACUUUGAGAAAAUUAGAGUGUUUCUAGCAGGCUGACGCUUUGAAUACUGCAGCAUGGAAUAAUAAGAUAGGAUUUUAGUUCUACAUUAUUGGUUUUAAGAGCUAAAUUAAUGAUUGAUAGGGACAGUUGGGGGCAUUUGUAUUUAACUGUCAGAGGUGAAAUUCUUAGAUU